Molecule: ribosomal RNA, 433 nt
Filed under: uncultured bacterium
Lineage: Bacteria
Description: partial 16S ribosomal RNA
Rfam family: Bacterial small subunit ribosomal RNA
Source: RNAcentral
AGCGAACGCUGGCGGCAGGCCUAACACAUGCAAGUCGAACGGAUCCUUCGGGAUUAGUGGCGGACGGGUGAGUAACACGUGGGGACGUGCCCUUUGGUUCGGAACAACCCCGGGAAACUUGAGCUAAUACCGGAUGUGCCCUUCGGGGGAAAGAUUUAUCGCCAUUGGAGCGGCCCGCGUCUGAUUAGCUAGUUGGUGAGGUAACGGCCCACCAAGGCGACGAUCAGUAGCUGGUCUGAGAGGAUGAUCAGCCACACUGGGACUGAGACACGGCCCAGACUCCUACGGGAGGCAGCAGUGGGGAAUAUUGCGCAAUGGGCGAAAGCCUGACGCAGCCAUGCCGCGUGAAUGAUGAAGGUCUUAGGAUUGUAAAAUUCUUUCAGCGGGGACGAUAAUGACGGUACCCGCAGAAGAAGCUCUGGCUAACUUCGUG